This 789-nucleotide ribosomal RNA is filed under the name uncultured archaeon. RNAcentral's name for it is "bacterial SSU rRNA". It matches the Rfam family "Archaeal small subunit ribosomal RNA", at positions 85 to 879 of the family's 1478-position model. The record is from RNAcentral.
ACUGCUCAGUAACACGUGGUUAACCUGCCCUAAGGUGGAGCAUACUCCCGGGAAACUGGGGCUAAUACUCCAUAGUGGAUGCAUCCUGGAAUGGUGCAUCCUCGAAAGAUCCGUCGCCUUAGGAUGGGACUGCGUCCGAUUAGGUUGUUGGCGGGGUAACGGCCCACCAAGCCAUUGAUCGGUACGGGUUGUGGGAGCAAGAUCCCGGAGAUGGAUUCUGAGACAUGAAUCCAGGCCCUACGGGGCGCAGCAGGCGCGAAAACUUUACAAUGCGGGUAACCGUGAUAAGGGAACCUCGAGUGCCUGUAUAUGCAGGCUGUCCAGGUGUCUAAGACACACCUGAAGAAAGGGCCGGGCAAGACCGGUGCCAGCCGCCGCGGUAAUACCGGCGGCUCGAGUGGUGGCCACUUUUAUUGGGCUUAAAGCGUUCGUAGCUGGGUUGUUAAGUCUCUUGGGAAAUCUGGCAGCUUAACUGUCAGGCGUCUAAGGGAUACUGGCAAUCUUGGGACCGGGAGAGGUGAGGGGUACUUCGGGGGUAGGAGUGAAAUCCUGUAAUCCUCGAGGGACCACCUGUGGCGAAGGCGCCUCACCAGAACGGCUUCGACAGUGAGGGACGAAAGCUGGGGGAGCAAACCGGAUUAGAUACCCGGGUAGUCCCAGCCGUAAACGAUGUGCGUUAGGUGUAUCGACGACCACGAGUCGUCGAGGUGCCGAACGGAAACCGUGAAACGUACCGCCUGGGAAGUACGGUCGCAAGGCUGAAACUUAAAGGAAUUGGCGGGGGAGCAC